Molecule: ribosomal RNA, 255 nt
Filed under: uncultured bacterium
Lineage: Bacteria
Description: partial 16S ribosomal RNA
Rfam family: Bacterial small subunit ribosomal RNA
Source: RNAcentral
UACGAAGGGGGCUAGCGUUGCUCGGAAUCACUGGGCGGUAAAGGGUGCGUAGGCGGCGCGGUAAGUCGGGUGUGAAAUCUCGGAGCUUAACUCCGAAACUGCAUUCGAUACUGCCGUGCUUGAGGACUGGAGAGGAGACUGGAAUUUACGGUGUAGCGGUGAAAUGCGUAGAUAUCGUAAGGAAGACCAGUGGCGAAGGCGGGUCUCUGGACAGUUCCUGACGCUGAGGCACGAAGGUCAGGGGAGCAAACGGGG